This 75-nucleotide transfer RNA is filed under the name Candidatus Yanofskyibacteriota bacterium. RNAcentral's name for it is "tRNA-Asn". It matches the Rfam family "tRNA". From Rfam's summary of the family: Transfer RNA (tRNA) molecules are approximately 80 nucleotides in length. Lineage: Bacteria; Candidatus Yanofskyibacteriota. The record is from RNAcentral.
UCCGGUGUAGCUCAAUGGUAGAGCAAGCGACUGUUAAUCGCUUGGUUCCUGGUUCGAAUCCAGGCACCGGAGCCA